RNAcentral lists this transfer RNA (73 nucleotides) under Mustela putorius furo (domestic ferret). It matches the Rfam family "tRNA". Rfam says of the family: Transfer RNA (tRNA) molecules are approximately 80 nucleotides in length. Lineage: Eukaryota; Metazoa; Chordata; Mammalia; Carnivora; Mustelidae. The record is from Rfam by way of RNAcentral.
GCCUGGCUGGCUCAGUCGGUAGAGCAUGCAACUCUUGAUUUCAGGGUUGUGAGUUGAAGCCCCACAUCAGGCA